This 88-nucleotide transfer RNA is filed under the name candidate division MSBL1 archaeon SCGC-AAA259O05. RNAcentral describes it as "tRNA-Leu". It matches the Rfam family "tRNA". Rfam says of the family: Transfer RNA (tRNA) molecules are approximately 80 nucleotides in length. The record is from RNAcentral. Lineage: Archaea; Methanobacteriati; Methanobacteriota.
GCGGGGGUAGCCAAGUCAGGUCAAAGGCGAGGGACUCAAGAUCCCUUCCUGCAGAGGUUCAAGGGUUCGAAUCCCUUCCCCCGCACCA